Molecule: ribosomal RNA, 712 nt
Filed under: uncultured Hydrogenophaga sp.
Lineage: Bacteria; Pseudomonadati; Pseudomonadota; Betaproteobacteria; Burkholderiales; Comamonadaceae
Description: bacterial SSU rRNA
Rfam family: Bacterial small subunit ribosomal RNA
Source: RNAcentral
CUGAUGGCGAGUGGCGAACGGGUGAGUAAUGCAUCGGAACGUGCCCAGUCGUGGGGGAUAACGCAGCGAAAGCUGUGCUAAUACCGCAUACGAUCUAUGGAUGAAAGCGGGGGACCUUCGGGCCUCGCGCGAUUGGAGCGGCCGAUGUUAGAUUAGGUAGUUGGUGGGGUAAAGGCUCACCAAGCCAACGAUCUAUAGCUGGUCUGAGAGGACGACCAGCCACACUGGAACUGAGACACGGUCCAGACUCCUACGGGAGGCAGCAGUGGGGAAUUUUGGACAAUGGGCGAAAGCCUGAUCCAGCAAUACCGCGUGCAGGAAGAAGGCCCUCGGGUUGUAAACUGCUUUUGUACGGAACGAAACGGCGCGCUCUAAUAAAGUGCGCUAAUGACGGUACCGUAAGAAUAAGCACCGGCUAACUACGUGCCAGCAGCCGCGGUAAUACGUAGGGUGCAAGCGUUAAUCGGAAUUACUGGGCGUAAAGCGUGUGCAGGCGGUUUUGUAAGACAGGCGUGAAAUCCCCGGGCUCAACCUGGGAAUUGCGCUUGUGACUGCAAGGCUAGAGUACGGUAGAGGGGGGUAGAAUUCCGCGUGUAGCAGUGAAAUGCGUAGAUAUGCGGAGGAACACCGAUGGCGAAGGCAGCCCCCUGGACCUGUACUGACGCUCAUGCACGAAAGCGUGGGGAGCAAACAGGAUUAGAUACCCUGGUAG